RNAcentral lists this ribosomal RNA (618 nucleotides) under uncultured bacterium. RNAcentral's name for it is "bacterial SSU rRNA". It matches the Rfam family "Bacterial small subunit ribosomal RNA", at positions 54 to 697 of the family's 1533-position model. The record is from RNAcentral.
CAUGCAGUCGAACGCCCCGAUUUAUCGGGGAGUGGCGGACGGCUGAGUAACGCGUUGGUAACCUGUCCCACAGUGGGGGAUAACCCGCCGAAAGGUGGGCUAAUACCGCAUUCGCUCCCCGGGUGAGAUUCCUGGGGAGGAAAGCCGCAAGGCGCUGAGGGAGGGGCCUGCGUCCUAUCAGGUAGUUGGUGAGGUAACGGCUCACCAAGCCGACGACGGGUAGCUGGUCUGAGAGGACGGCCAGCCAGACGGGGACUGAGACACGGCCCCGACUCCUACGGGAGGCAGCAGCGAGGAAUCUUGGGCAAUGGGCGAAAGCCUGACCCAGCGACGCCGCGUGGGGGAAGAAGGCCUUCGGGUCGUAAACCCCUUUUGCCGGGGAAGAAGCUCUGACGGUACCCGGCGAAUAAGCCACGGCUAACUACGUGCCAGCAGCCGCGGUAAUACGUAGGUGGCAAGCGUUGUCCGGAUUUACUGGGCGUAAAGGGCGUGUAGGCGGUUUGUUAAGUCCGGUGUGAAAUCUCCCGGCCCAACUGGGAUAGGUCAUCGGAUACUGGCGAACUAGAGAUGGGCAGAGGAAGGUGGAAUUCCCGGUGUAGCGGUGAAAUGCGUAGAUAU